GAUGAACGCUGGCGGCGUGCCUAAUACAUGCAAGUAGAACGCUGAAGGAGGUGCUUGCUCUUCUGGAUGAGUUGCGAACGGGUGAGUAACGCGUAGGUAACCUGCCUGGUAGCGGGGGAUAACUAUUGGAAACGAUAGCUAAUACCGCAUGACAACAGUUAUUGCAUGAUAACUGUUUAAAAGGGGCAACUGCUCCACUACCAGAUGGACCUGCGUUGUAUUAGCUAGUUGGUGAGGUAACGGCUCACCAAGGCGACGAUACAUAGCCGACCUGAGAGGGUGAUCGGCCACACUGGGACUGAGACACGGCCCAGACUCCUACGGGAGGCAGCAGUAGGGAAUCUUCGGCAAUGGACGGAAGUCUGACCGAGCAACGCCGCGUGAGUGAAGAAGGUUUUCGGAUCGUAAAGCUCUGUUGUAAGAGAAGAACGAGUGUGAGAGUGGAAAGUUCACACUGUGACGGUAUCUUACCAGAAAGGGACGGCUAACUACGUG
RNAcentral lists this ribosomal RNA (495 nucleotides) under uncultured bacterium. RNAcentral's name for it is "partial 16S ribosomal RNA". It matches the Rfam family "Bacterial small subunit ribosomal RNA", at positions 28 to 507 of the family's 1533-position model. The record is from RNAcentral.